This 254-nucleotide ribosomal RNA is filed under the name uncultured bacterium. RNAcentral describes it as "partial 16S ribosomal RNA". It matches the Rfam family "Bacterial small subunit ribosomal RNA", at positions 524 to 776 of the family's 1533-position model. The record is from RNAcentral.
UACGAAGUGGGCUAGCGUUGCUCGGAAUCACUGGGCGUAAAGCGCACGUAUGCGGGCUCUUAAGUCGGUGGUGAAAUCCUGGAGCUCACCUCCAGAACUGCCUUCGAUACUGAGAGUCUUCGAGUCCGGGAGAGGUGAGUGGAACUGCGAGUGUAGAGGUGAAAGUCGUAGAUAUGCGCAAGAACACCAGUGGCGAAGGCGGCUCACGGGCCCGGUACUGACGCUGAGGUGCGAAAGCGUGGGGAGCAAACAGG